Molecule: transfer RNA, 69 nt
Filed under: Phrynosoma platyrhinos (Desert horned lizard)
Lineage: Eukaryota; Metazoa; Chordata; Lepidosauria; Squamata; Phrynosomatidae
Description: tRNA-OTHER
Source: RNAcentral
GAGUGUGGCAUAAUGGUUUGAGCAUUGGACUAGAACUCUGGAGACUAGGGUUCAAAUCCCAGCUCAGCA